UACGUAGGCAGCGAGCGUUGUUCGGAGUUACUGGGCGUAAAGAGUGUGUAGGCGGUGUUCCCAGUCUGUUGUGAAAUCUCCCGGCUUAACUGGGAGGGUGCAGCGGAAACUAGAAUGCUAGAGGGUGGGAGAGGUAAGCGGAAUUCCUGGUGUAGCGGUGAAAUGCGUAGAUAUCAGGAGGAACACCUGUGGUGUAGACAGCUUACUGGACCACUUCUGACGCUGAGACACGAAAGCGUGGGUAGCAAACAGG
RNAcentral lists this ribosomal RNA (253 nucleotides) under uncultured bacterium. Its description in RNAcentral is "partial 16S ribosomal RNA". It matches the Rfam family "Bacterial small subunit ribosomal RNA", at positions 524 to 776 of the family's 1533-position model. The record is from RNAcentral.